CAAUAGCGUAUAUUAAAGUUGUUGCAGUUUAAAAGCUCGUAGUUGGAUCUCGGGUCCAGGCUCGCGGUUCGUUUCGCGACGAUACUGCCCGUCCUGACCUACCUCCCGGUUUUCUCCCGGUGCUCUUCGCUGAGUGCCUCGAGUGGCCGGAACGUUUACUUUGAAAAAAUUAGAGUGCUCAAAGCAGGCAGUCUGCCUGAAUAACCGCGCAUGGAAUAAUGGAAUAGGACCUCGGUUCUAUUUUGUUGGUUUUCGGAACUUGAGGUAAUGAUUAAGAGGGACAGACGGGGGCAUUCGUAUUACGGUGUUAGAGGUGAAAUUCUUGGAUCGCCGUAAGACGAACUACUGCGAAAGCAUUUGCCAAGAAUGUUUUCAUUAAUCAAGAACGAAAGUCAGAGGUUCGAAGACGAUCAGAUACCAU
This 421-nucleotide ribosomal RNA is filed under the name uncultured eukaryote. RNAcentral describes it as "SSU rRNA". It matches the Rfam family "Eukaryotic small subunit ribosomal RNA", at positions 592 to 1018 of the family's 1831-position model. The record is from RNAcentral.